AAGAAAUAUGCACUCACAUUCCUAAUUAGGGAUGAUAAGUUUAUAUUUCCUGUAAACUUUAUCGUUGUUCACUUUGAAGCUAAUGAUGACAUACCAAUAAUAUUUAGAAGAGCUUUCCUUACUACUAUGCUGCUAGCUAGGAGAACCAUGAUUGAUGUACAAAAGGGUGAAUUGACAAUGAAAGUGAAUGACCAUCCCAUUAAUUAAUUUCAACAUACCUAAUGCUAUGAAAUAUCAUGAUGAGGUCAAGAAUGCUCAUUUCUCACUUAUAAGAUAAGUGGAUUCCUGAGUUCACAAAUAUUUAUUGCAAGAGGACCUUGUAGAGUUGAAAGAAUCAAAAGAUAUGGUGACAAGUGAAGAUUCAAGGAAAAAUUUGCCUUACAUUGAAGCACCACAUGUGUUAAGCCCUACUCAUACAAGAAAGACCAUGAUAAAAUA
Molecule: long non-coding RNA, 438 nt
Filed under: Trifolium pratense (red clover)
Lineage: Eukaryota; Viridiplantae; Streptophyta; Magnoliopsida; Fabales; Fabaceae
Description: long non-coding RNA (TPRA_LNC004982)
Source: RNAcentral